RNAcentral lists this ribosomal RNA (176 nucleotides) under uncultured bacterium. Its description in RNAcentral is "partial 16S ribosomal RNA". It matches the Rfam family "Bacterial small subunit ribosomal RNA", at positions 335 to 526 of the family's 1533-position model. The record is from RNAcentral.
ACUCCUACGGGAGGCAUCAGUGGGGAAUUUUCCGCAAUGGGCGAAAGCCUGACGGAGCAAUACCGCGUGAGGGAUGAAAGCCUGUGGGUUGUAAACCUCUUUUCUCAAGGAAGAAGUUCUGACGGUACUUGAGGAAUAAGCAUCGGCUAACUCUGUGCCAGCAGCCGCGGUAAUAC